RNAcentral lists this ribosomal RNA (465 nucleotides) under uncultured bacterium. RNAcentral describes it as "partial 16S ribosomal RNA". It matches the Rfam family "Bacterial small subunit ribosomal RNA", at positions 338 to 795 of the family's 1533-position model. The record is from RNAcentral.
CCUACGGGGUGCAGCAGUAGGGAAUCUUCCACAAUGGGCGAAAGCCUGAUGGAGCAACGCCGCGUGGGUGAAGAAGGUCUUCGGAUCGUAAAACCCUGUUGUUAGAGAAGAAAGUGCGUGAGAGUAACUGUUCACGUUUCGACGGUAUCUAACCAGAAAGCCACGGCUAACUACGUGCCAGCAGCCGCGGUAAUACGUAGGUGGCAAGCGUUAUCCGGAUUUAUUGGGCGUAAAGGGAACGCAGGCGGUCUUUUAAGUCUGAUGUGAAAGCCUUCGGCUUAACCGGAGUAGUGCAUUGGAAACUGGGAGACUGGAGUGCAGAAGAGGAGAGUGGAACUCCAUGUGUAGCGGUGAAAUGCGUAGAUAUAUGGAAGAACUCCAGUGGCGAAAGCGGCUCUCUGGUCUGUAACUGACGCUGAGGUUCGAAAGCGUGGGUAGCAAACAGGAUUAGAUACCCUUGUAGUC